CCGAGUGAGGGCCCCCGGGUCCGACCUCCAACCCUUUGUAUACCGACCCUGUUGCCUCGGGGGUGACCCGGCGCUCUCACGAGUGCCCCGGGGCCCCCGGUGGACCGUCAAACACUGCAUCUGUGCGUCCGAGUCAUAUUUGAAUAAAUCA
This 151-nucleotide unclassified non-coding RNA is filed under the name uncultured Dothideomycetes. RNAcentral describes it as "sequence contains ITS1". The record is from RNAcentral. Lineage: Eukaryota; Fungi; Ascomycota; Dothideomycetes.